RNAcentral lists this ribosomal RNA (492 nucleotides) under uncultured bacterium. RNAcentral's name for it is "partial 16S ribosomal RNA". It matches the Rfam family "Bacterial small subunit ribosomal RNA", at positions 29 to 507 of the family's 1533-position model. The record is from RNAcentral.
AGUGAACGCUGGCGGUAGGCCUAACACAUGCAAGUCGAACGGCAGCACAGUAAGAGCUUGCUCUUACGGGUGGCGAGUGGCGGACGGGUGAGGAAUACAUCGGAAUCUACUUUUUCGUGGGGGAUAACGUAGGGAAACUUACGCUAAUACCGCAUACGACCUACGGGUGAAAGCAGGGGAUCUUCGGACCUUGCGCGAUUGAAUGAGCCGAUGUCGGAUUAGCUAGUUGGCGGGGUAAAGGCCCACCAAGGCGACGAUCCGUAGCUGGUCUGAGAGGAUGGUCAGCCACACUGGAACUGAGACACGGUCCAGACUCCUACGGGAGGCAGCAGUGGGGAAUAUUGGACAAUGGGCGCAAGCCUGAUCCAGCCAUACCGCGUGGGUGAAGAAGGCCUUCGGGUUGUAAAGCACUUUUGUUGGGAAAGAAAAGCAGCAGGUUAAUACCCCGCUGUUCUGACGGUACCAAAAGAAUAAGCACCGGCUAACUUCGUG